UGUAUACUCGUGCCACUUUGCUUCUUAAAUGUGUUUUAAUAAAUUCGUUUCCUCGAGACUGUUCCUGCAAUGGAUGUGCUCGUAAAGCUGCGUCGUUAUGUGCUCAAUUAAUAACAGGGUUGAACCCGCAGUUUUAAUGAAUGUAGCGGCGCGCAUGGACCUCUCCGCCUCUCCACACGAAACUUGAACGCAUCAGACGUCCUCCACUUUACCAAGCUCCCCACUUAUUUCUGCCCUCGAUUUUACGCAUUGUUUUUUCGGACCCCGUGCCCUUUUUACAACUCCUGGAAAGUUUCUCUGCCGCCUGGAUAUGUGGUGGAUGCUGUUUCCCAGAUGGAUUUGGUUUUUAUUCGGGCAGCUCUGCGUCUUGCGCUUGGACUUGCGCGCCAGAGCGCUGCCAAUGCCAAUGUCAAUGUCCAAAGUGGUUUAUACACACGCGGGGAUGUGUCCGAACGAGAUGAACCCGAACCUGUGGGUAGACGCCAUGAGCACCUGCAUGCGCGAGUGUGAGUCCGAUCAGGAUUGUGAGCCAUUCGAGAAAUGCUGUUCAAACGUUUGUGGAAACAAGAGCUGUGUGGCCGCCCGAUACAUGGACCUCCGGGGAAGGAAAGGUCCGAUGGGAAUGCCCAAAGGGAUCACCUGCGACCAAUUCACAUGCACACAACAGGGUUCAGAAUGCGACAUCUGGGACGGGCAGCCGGUGUGCAAGUGCAAAGACCGCUGCGGACAGGAGCCCCGCUUCACCUGCGCCUCGGACGGCAUGACAUACUACAACAAAUGCUAUUUGGAUGCAGAGGCUUGCACGAGGGGUGUCUCUCUCAUCGAAGUCACCUGCAAGUUCCACCUCAGCUUCUCCAACACCAGCCCUCUACCGGAGGAGACCACCGUUCGCCCCACCACGGCUCAUUUGGAGACCACCCCUACGGAUGUUCAAGCACCUGUGAUGGUCAGCAAUCCGGUAAACAAUUUCGUGUUUGUAGGCGAAACGGCUAGUUUCCUAUGCGAGGUGACGGGCAAGCCCAAACCGGCAAUCACUUGGGAGAAACAAAUGAAAGGCAAGGAGAGCACAGUGAUGGGACCCAAUAACGUGCUUGGAAACAUAGUGGUUACCAACAUCGCCCAGCUGGUUAUAUAUAACGCUCAAAUCCAAGAUGCCGGCAUCUACACCUGCACCGCCGCAAACCCCGGCGGCACAGUCCAGGCUCAUUUCCCGCUCUCUGUGGUACCCCAAGAACAGACCAAACCGAAGCCGGUGACGAAUUCCACACGCUUAACGCCAGAGGAGUGUUUGAAAGAACCCGAUAUGGAUAUCUGCGGAGAGGAGGGUGUUCGUUGGUACUAUGAAUCCAAAAGCAACAACUGCUUCACCUUCACGUUCAGGCAAUGCGACACGAACAAAAACCAUUUCGACACGUACGACUCAUGCAUGUCGUCCUGCGGAAUGGUGCUCACCGCACCUUGCUCCUUACCGAGCGUGCAAGGGCCCUGCAAGUCAUACACACCACGUUGGGCCUACAGCCCUGCCGUCAAGGAAUGCCAGCCAUUUGUUUACGGUGGAUGCGGUGGAAACAAGAACAACUUUAAGAACCAGGAAGCCUGCGAGGAGUUGUGUCCCUUCCCCAAGACCAAAAACUGCAAGCAGUGCAAACCCAGGCAGAAGAUGGUUUCGAGCUUCUGCAAGAGCGACUUCGUGGUCCUGGGACGUAUUUCCGAGCUGAUGGAAGAGCACGAUUCCGCACUCAUCACGAUGGAGGAGAUCUUAAAGGACGAAAAGAUGGGGCUGCGGUUCUUCCGUCAGGAACCUCUGGAGGUGACGCUGCUCAACAUGGAUUGGAAAUGUCCCUGUCUGAACGUAACCAGAGCCGAGGGUCAAAUGAUCAUCAUGGGGAACGUUCAGAACGGCAUGGCCGUCCUGCAGCCCAACAGCUUCGUGGUCACCUCGACGGCGCGGCGGGUUCGUAAACUCCGUGAGGUUGUCAACAAAAAGCCUUGUGACAUUUUGAUGGAGUUCAGCAGCACGAAGUACUAGCAGGAUGCAAAAACAGAGAGAAAAAACAACUACAAUCACGUCAUCACGACGGAGAGACGGAUAAUGUGAUUUUAACUUUGUGAACGACACAAAGGAUUUCAUAUGAAAGUGUUAUCUUAUUUACAUCUACACAUUGUAGUGGAAGUAUUAUUUUAGUUUGACUAAAAAGCGGACUCUCUGUACCUGUCCUAAAACAAAAGCCUUGCAGGCCGUCACUGAACCUUCAUUGGAAACAGGGUAAAUCCCGAGGCAAAAGGAGAGACGUGUUCCUUUGAGUAUGACGGUAAAUGAGAUUAUUCCACGAAGAAAAAGACAUCAUGACUGUUCAGGUACGACUUCAGGAUCCAAAUGUGGACUGGAAUAUCACAGAGAGACCUUCGGGUAGACACCUUUAAAUUUGUCAGGCAAGCAACCAAAUAGCAAGCAUCCAAAAUAAUGGUGUACAUGGCCUUAACCCAGUCCUAAAACGAACAAAUCUGAUUGGCUGUUGAGCCAGGAAGUCAAAAUCGCUCCUGCCUUAGGGGUGGCAAAAAAGCCUUUUUGUUAAAUUGAAGGAAAUCUCAUUCUGACAGUUCCGAUCUACCAUCCUGAACAAAAGGCAGUUGUUUGGAGUGGGGCGAGCUUUACACCCCCGUGUGAAUUACAGCGCCUGUCCACUGCCCUGUAUUGCGAACCAAGAACAGAA
This is an RNA transcript of Triplophysa dalaica, 2714 nucleotides long. It is a transcript of the gene named info WAP, follistatin/kazal, immunoglobulin, kunitz and netrin domain containing 2a, with no coding region annotated. The record is from RefSeq and is a predicted model, not a curated record. NCBI's taxonomy places the organism in Eukaryota, Metazoa, Chordata, Actinopteri, Cypriniformes, Nemacheilidae. The transcript is spliced from 3 exons.